CCCUUAGAUGUUCUGGGCUGCACGCGCGCUACACUGACGCACGCAACAGGUGCCUGCUCCGAGAGGACUGGGUAAUCAUUUGAGUGUGCGUCGUGAUGGGGAUAGAAUAUUGUAAUUAUUACUCUUCAACGAGGAAUUCCUAGUAAGCGCCAGUCAGCAGCUUGCGCUGAUUACGUCCCUGCCCUUUGUACACACCGCCCGUCGCUCCUACCGAUUGAACGGUUUAGUGAGGGCCUCGGAUUGGUCUCGGCCCGCUCUUUACCGGGCGGCGCCGUUGGUCGAGAAGACGCUCGAACUUGAUCGUUUAGAGGAAGUAAAAGUCGUAACA
RNAcentral lists this ribosomal RNA (328 nucleotides) under uncultured eukaryote. RNAcentral's name for it is "partial 18S ribosomal RNA". It matches the Rfam family "Eukaryotic small subunit ribosomal RNA", at positions 1470 to 1796 of the family's 1831-position model. The record is from RNAcentral.